UUUGAGAGUGAAACUCUUUUU
RNAcentral lists this non-coding RNA (21 nucleotides) under Caenorhabditis elegans. Lineage: Eukaryota; Metazoa; Nematoda; Chromadorea; Rhabditida; Rhabditidae. The record is from RNAcentral.